Molecule: ribosomal RNA, 344 nt
Filed under: uncultured eukaryote
Lineage: Eukaryota
Description: SSU rRNA
Rfam family: Eukaryotic small subunit ribosomal RNA
Source: RNAcentral
CCAGCAGCCGCGGUAAUUCCAGCUCCAAUAGCGUAUAUUAAAGUUGUUGCAGUUAAAAAGCUCGUAGUUGGACCUUGGAGAGAGAUGCAUGGUCGGCCGAACGGCUGCACUAGGCGUCUCUCUCUUCCUUCUGUAGACCAUGUAUGCCCUUAGUUGGGUGUGCAUUGGGAUGCAGAUCGUUUACUUUGAAUAAAUUAGAGUGUUCAAAGCAGGCAAUCGCUUGAAUACGUUAGCAUGGAAUAAUGAAAUAGGACUUUGGUUCUAUUUUGUUGGUUUCUAGGACCGAAGUAAUGAUUAAUAGGGAUAGUUGGGGGCAUUAAUAUUUAAUUGUCAGAGGUGAAAUU